AAAAUUCUCCCUCUGUCCCAAAAUUCUUCUCUUAGAUUUGUCUAGAUAUGUUUUAGUAUUUAGAUGCAUCCAUUUCUAGACAACCUAAGACAAGAAUUUUGAGACAGAGGAAGAAAAUG
Molecule: microRNA precursor, 119 nt
Filed under: Hordeum vulgare
Lineage: Eukaryota; Viridiplantae; Streptophyta; Magnoliopsida; Poales; Poaceae
Description: microRNA MIR1122
Rfam family: MIR1120/MIR1122 microRNA precursor family
Source: RNAcentral